CGCCUUUAAAAUUUCCCGUGAAACAUUUCCCCUCAUUUUCAAAGUGCAAAGAUUUCCCUCCUAAAAUCGAGACAUCAGUUCAUUAGGUUUUCCUUUUUGCACACCUCCACCGUAAUCUCCAUAGACAUGCACUACCACCUCCUGUGCCGAAUUUCCCUCGACCCUAAAAUUUGCAGCGAUGUUUCUUUUUCUUUCUGAAAUGUGCUCUUAUAUAUGCCAAUAUUUGCUUCAAUGAAAUUCAACGAGAAAAAGAAAAUCUCAAUAGUAUCAAAGUUCAAACACAGGGUUCAUUCGGGUUUGUUUCAUAGUAUUAGUCUUAUGUUUAAACUUACUUGUGUUCAGAUCUUAAACAUUUCUAUACUAGCUUUGCAUAUUUGCAGAAUUUCUUUGGGAUUGACCAUUGCAUAUUAUCUGCUUGAUGGAAUGUUUGUCUGACCUAUCCUUACUGCUAAAAUCAUUUUGGUUUUGAAGCCAAUUAAUAAAGUGAAAUUUGUUGGAUAAAUAGUAAGAAUUUGAAAGAAUUAGUAGGAAGCAUAAAUUUAGUAUCAAAUAUGGAUGGAAAGAAAGAAAUAAUGAGUGUUUGAAAAGGAAGUGAAGCGUUAAGAAGGUAUCCUAUAUGCUUAUAUAUUUUCAUAACUUGUUGGUUUGUACGUACAAUACGAUUUCAGGUCCACCAUUGCUUCAUUCCAUAGUAAAACUUUUAUUACGUCCUUUUGUUGUCAAAUUACUUUCUUCAGUGCUUUGUAUAUUUUUGUUUUGCAUUUGAAGCAUUAUAGUGUUACUUUCCAAUUGUGGAGUUCAAAAUGUUAGUCCAAGUUUUCUACUUAAGUUUGACAUAAAGUUUUUGUAGCAUAAACGUAUAAAUGCUUAUGACUUGAUAGAAUACAUUGAGGCUUGGUAGUCGAAACUAAAAUGUUUUGCUAUUUAUAAGGUUUGAUAAUUAAAAGAUAUGCAAGAAGAUAUGGUAUUUUUCUUAUGAAGCUUUAUGCAUUAUUGAUAUAAAUAUGAGAUAGUGAUGAAUAUACUUUAAUUACAAUGGGAUUUGGUUUUCUCAAUUGUAAAAUGAGUUCAAUCACUUAGUUAUAUGACAGUUCUCUAGCCCAUAAGGGGGAGGGAUGACCUUCGCUUGUAUUUUUGGAGGAGAAUAACUUUUUACGUUUAUACAAUCUGGGCACAAAUUCUUGUUCUGACAUUCUAUUGUCUAGUAGUUUAUUCUUGUUCUCUCUCGCUACUUAUUAAUUGUAUAGCUUUUGAAGCUAAGACAGAGGCUCUAGUUUGAUAUUGAAUAAACUUGGCAAUAUCUGAGUUAGGUAGAUCAAUUUGGCAUAUCAAUUGACGCAUACUAUUUAUUUUCGAUGCUAGCACAGUAUUUAGUUCUGAUAUUAUUAAGACUUUCACUUUGUGAUUGGAAUAUCAGAUUCUAAAGAUAUUGUCCUACUUGUGACUGUAUUGUGUUUUGCAUCAAUUCAGUUCUUGCUUACUUUAGUUUAGGUUAUAAUACAUGUGGACACUGGAGUGAACAGAGGAUUCUUCAUGUUCUCAAAUAAGAUCAACAUAGAGCAAAAGUGAGGAAGGCAAAGAAAAAGGAUAAAGGUACUUCAGAGGAGGAUUAGUUGAUAGCGAAUAUAUAUCGACCAGGUAAUCAAACUUUGUGUGUGCCAUCUUUGGAAAGGAAAUGUUCUGCAGUAUAUUGAUUAGUUGAGCAUAAUACACAAUUUGUCGACUUUCUCCUUCAUUCUUUAUCUCUUGACAUAUGAAACUUGCAGAUUUCUAUUGUUGAUUUGGUCUCUAUUGUGUAUUGUCUCAACUUAAGAUCUUCCUUUGAGUUCAACUGAAGAGGUAAAUUUGGAUUUGUCUUCUUUGACUUACUAUCUUAUUUUCUGUUUGCUCGAAUGGGAAGUACACAAAUACAAAUCUUGUUGUUUGAGAAUAAAAUUUCAGAUAUCUUGAAAUGAGAUUUUUCCUGGUAACCCCAACAAUUAUGAAUUGAAAGAGGAUGCCAAGUGAAUAAAGGUAUUCACUUCCCAACAAGUAUAUCUAUUUCAAUCACUUUCAAUUAUACAACACAUUUUAAAUGCCCUCCAUUCUCUUUGUUUAGCUCAGCUUUUAUAUGAAUAGAGAUCUACAUGAUUAUCUUUGCUAUUAUAGGUAUUUAAAAUGUAGAGACUAAUAUUGCCUGAGGGUAAAAUUGAGUUAGCAUAUUGUCUGAUGGAUGUUUUUAAGUAUUGUCUCUGUACAAAUUGGAGGGUUGAUAGAAUAGAAGUUGUACCUACGCUUUUAAUUUCUUGCCAGAUUCUAAGAUAUCAAUGGUAGCUAAGUGAUUAUAGUCACUUGUAAGAGGUACUCACCUUUUGAAAAAGAAAUCCACUAAUCUAGUUUGUCCAUCAUUAUAUACCAAUUAAACGAAAGGAAGCAACAGAAUCAUACUACUCUAGAGAGAAUAUAACUAGAUGUAUGGAUGCUAAGAAAACAAAUGAGGAAGGCCAAUAAAGCAUGAUUUUUUUCCAUAUGUUCUGUUACUCAAAUCAUUCGAUUACAUUUUCAUCUCAGCACUGUAACAUGUAUAGAUUUCCUCUACUUUUGUCAUUUGUUUUAGUCGUGUAUAUGUAUAUCUCUUACUUAUAUGUGAUAGUAUUGUUCCGAGUUCCCAAGGGGCAAACUCUACCACAUUGCUCUGAGUUUGCACUUGCAUACUAUGGAUUUCUAUCUAAUUACUAAUUUUAUUUUAUAGGAAAGUUUUGUUGGGCAAUUAAAAAUAGUGCCAAAAGACUAUUUGAUCUAUUAGAAUUUAACGAUGAAGACUUUAGACAAUUACGAUUUUUGUAAUUCCUGAUACUACAAUAAUACAUUUGAUUUUGUAAAGUUACAAGCAUGAACCUUGAAAUAAUUUGCUUUGUUGUAUUACACAAGAUUUAAUCUUUUUUGAA
Non-coding RNA from Nicotiana tabacum (common tobacco), 2927 nucleotides. Lineage: Eukaryota; Viridiplantae; Streptophyta; Magnoliopsida; Solanales; Solanaceae. The record is from RefSeq and is a predicted model, not a curated record.